CCUACGGGUGGCAGCAGUCGAGAAUCAUUCACAAUGGGGGAAACCCUGAUGGUGCGACGCCGCGUGGGGGAAUGAAGGUCUUCGGAUUGUAAACCCCUGUCAUGUGGGAGCAAAUUAAAAAGAUAGUACCACAAGAGGAAGAGACGGCUAACUCUGUGCCAGCAGCCGCGGUAAUACAGAGGUCUCAAGCGUUGUUCGGAAUCACUGUGCGUAAAGCGUGCGUAGGCUGUUUCGUAAGUCGUGUGUGAAAGGCGCGGGCUCAACCCGCGGACGGCACAUGAUACUGCGAGACGAGAGGAAUGGAGGGGGAACCGGAAUUCUCGGUGUAGCAGUGAAAUGCGUAGAUAUCGAGAGGAACACUCGUGGCGAAGGCGGGUUCCUGGACAUUAACUGACGCUGAGGCACGAAGGCCAGGGGAGCGAAAGGGAUUAGAUACCCGAGUAGUC
This 446-nucleotide ribosomal RNA is filed under the name uncultured bacterium. Its description in RNAcentral is "partial 16S ribosomal RNA". It matches the Rfam family "Bacterial small subunit ribosomal RNA", at positions 338 to 795 of the family's 1533-position model. The record is from RNAcentral.